GGGGCUUUAGCUCAAGUGGUAGAGCGCAACGCUGGCAGUGUUGAUGUUAUCGGUUCAAAUCCGAUAAGCUCCA
RNAcentral lists this transfer RNA (73 nucleotides) under Candidatus Portiera aleyrodidarum (primary endosymbiont of Bemisia tabaci). RNAcentral's name for it is "tRNA-Ala". It matches the Rfam family "tRNA". Rfam says of the family: Transfer RNA (tRNA) molecules are approximately 80 nucleotides in length. Their secondary structure includes four short double-helical elements and three loops (D, anti-codon, and T loops). Lineage: Bacteria; Pseudomonadati; Pseudomonadota; Gammaproteobacteria; Johnevansiales (SeqCode); Johnevansiaceae (SeqCode). The record is from RNAcentral.